Molecule: long non-coding RNA, 523 nt
Organism: Lynx canadensis (Canada lynx)
Lineage: Eukaryota; Metazoa; Chordata; Mammalia; Carnivora; Felidae
Exons: 2
Source: RefSeq, a predicted model, not a curated record
CUUUCAUUUUUUCACAUGGUAGCAGACAGCUGGCAUGGCUCUAUCUGAGUUUGGCAGACUUGCUUAGUCAUCAUCAGAGGACCCUACACACCCCAGAGAUUCAUCCUUUAAACAUCUAAGCACAGGGCACACAGUUUCUAAAAGGAAGGUGGCUGAAGAUAUUCCAUUUUACCAAAACAAGAAGAUAUGGCCCAUUUCAUUCUUUUUCAUCAAAAAAGAAAGGAAGAAUAAUGAGAGACAUGGAUAUGGCCUCACUCACCAUUAGAGAACAAAGGGGGAGAUGUACAGACGGCUCUUGAUAAGGUUACAAGUGAAGCAUGGCCACCAAAUAAGACUAGUGAGGUACUGGGAGAGUUGAGGCUUGUAACACACACGGGACAAAAGAUACAGACUUUUUUUUUUUUUUUUUUGGCUGUAUGAAUUGAAUGUUUAAUAAAUGUGAUCGGAAAAUGAUAACAGGGAUGAUGCUGAAGACUCAAGCAUACUUCGGAGGAUAAUAAAGGAGGAAAAUCACUGUAUGAAA